GAAAGCACUCAUGUUUGAGUCAGGAAACUUGGGUUCUGGACUUGGACUUUGGGCUUCUCUUUAUUUUUCUCUGAGCCAUUUAUUCUUGUCCAAAGUGAGGAGUUGGCCCAAAACACUUCUAUGUGCCGAUUUCCCUCUAAAAGCCUGUGAUUACUGAUUAUGACCACUGCAGGGACAGUUUUUCAAAACUGUGUCCAACGAUUACAUUUAUAUUGAUUCUGUGUCCGUUGGAGUCUCGUCCUGAGACACAGGUGAAGCAGGACGCAGGGCAGUGAUAAUGACCAGCAGACACACAGGGUCACUCGGGUUACCCAGAGCUCAGUGCAGAGGUCAGCUCCGUCCUCUCAUGUUGCCACUCAGGACCAUUUGUCAGUGACUGAUUGCUGUUUUCACAUCCCAGGAUUAUCACCUGCUCUCUUUUCUACCUAAAAUGUCUACACCAUCGCUCUUCUCCAACUUUUCCUUUCUGGUCCUAUCAGAGAAGGGAGCAGAAUUCCAUGGCAGAGACCAUGGGCUUAGAAAUUGAGCUUCACAAGUUUAAGUCCUGCUUAUAUCCCUUACUUGCUGUGAGCACCUCAUUUCCCUCUGUGAGCUUCCAGUUUCCACAUCUGUAGAAUGGCCACAGUGUCGGUACCUGCUUCAGAUAAUUGUGGUGGGUUGGGAAGAUGAUAAUUCACAGUGCCCAGAAGAUAGUAAAUAUAGUAAGUGAAUUAUUUUCUCCUCCUCCCUGUGUUCUCCCUGCUACCCCUUGUUAUCUUUCAUCUCUCAAAGUGGAGCUAAGGGAUCAUACACUUCAGAAAAAUAUCUCCUGCCCUUGUCCCUUCCCAGAGAAUCAUGUCUGUAAUUUUAUCUUGCCUUAGUGUAUUCUUCCCUAUGCUGUCGUCUCACCCCAUCUCUGCAAGAGACAUCUAGAGGCCAAUCAUUAUAGACACUUCAUUAAUGUGUCCCAAGCAAACGGCAUACAGCAGGUAUUCAAUAAAUUUCUGCUAGCCUUUACUGCCAAAGGGCAUGUUGAAAGGAAGAAUGCUGGAAGAGGUAAGGAAGACAGAGGAACAGAAGAAGGAAAAAUCCCAUAUGUCAUGCCAGCUCCUCAAAAAAGAUAUUAUUUUAGAAUGUAAAGGAAAAAUAGAGUUAAAGAAGAAACCAUUAAGUGGCCCAAAUUGCAUUACUAGUUCUCUACUCUGGGAUACACAGCCAUCGUUCAGUCUUUAGUAUAAGCAAUUCUUGAUUGACUAGAAGUGUUUAGCAAAAGAAGCAAAAUUUACCAUGUGUAUUUACAGUCUGAAUGGCUCGGCUCCUCUAGCUUUGCUUACAUCAAAGAAAGGGGGAAAAUGCACCCAGACAGUCUAAUUUCUUUAAGUCAGAUGAGUCACAGAAGCAAACAUUGGAAGAUGUGCUACAAAAUAAUCAAUCAUCAGAUAAAACUGUUUUGGAUGUAGCAGAUGUAUAAAAUAAAGUGGGACUAUUUUUUAAGCUAAAAGUUUGCAUAUUUACAGAAGAUUCUGGUAGAAUAGAGAAAUUUAGCCAGACCAUCACUUAAAAGGAGGUGUGGUUUCAAAGCAGAAAGGCAGCUGAAAAUAGCAGUCAGUUCUCUUCAUCCCUUAACUCCUACCCCUAUUCCUCAUCCUCAUGCCCAGCACCCAGUAAUGAUUUUUCAUGAUAAACACCUUUAAUUUUUAUUUUAUUAACAAUGUGGUUUCUAGAACACCUGAAUAUUGUAUUUGGCCAAUAUCUGCUUUAAAUAUCAUGUCAUAAAUAGAAAACAUCAGUAGCAGUAGGAUUAGCAGCAUGCUGAUCAGUUACUAGAAGGGAGGUGCCUCCCCACAGGUGACGGUCCGUAUCAUUACACCAAUUUUGCAAGUGGAGAAAUUCCUAUGCUAGAUGAGAAGCUGUAUGGCCACGUUCACACAUCUUAGACAUUAUGAAGUUUAGGUGUCCAGACGGAGCUUUCUCAUUUCAGUGUGCUCUGGCAUUUCCCAAAUGUAAACUGACAAGCAUCCAAUCUGAUGAAAUGAUGACAUCCCAUAAAAUAGAUGUUUAAUGUCUUAUAAUGUAUCUAUUUCCUGAAGCCAAUUGUAUGAAAAUCUAUCAAACUGCCUGUCUCCAAAUGUCCACAUGCUGGAGCAUCACCAUCUUCGCAUACACUCUUCUCCCUGCUUAAAACAAGCUUCCUCCUUCAUGUUCUGUCUAUUUCCAGUUUAUUUUUCAAAAAUGCCAUGCUCUUAGGUGAAAUACCUAAUGUAGAUGACAGGUUGAUGGGUGCAGCAAACCACCAUGGCACAUGUAUACCUAUGUAACAAACCUUCACGUUCUACACAUGUACCCCAGAAAUUAAAGUAUAAUAACAAAAAUAAAAAUUUUAAAAAAUCUAAUUUUACUUCUUUUGUACAUUAUUCAUAUAGUAACUUGUACUAAGGGAUUUAUUAAUGUAACUUCAUAUGUAUGUAUUUAGUCAUACAUGGAAAUAUAAAUACAGAUAGGCAACAGCUAAAAAAGAAAAAAACUCCAUGCUCACGUGUCCUAUCCUCCAGACAUAUUUUCCUAGCACUCCUUGUUUCUCCCUCCCCUCAUCACCAGUAGGGAAUUAGUAUCCUUGCUUUGUGUCCUGUGCACUCUGUGCCCAAUUCUGAGAGCGUACUUGACCCAUCUUCAUUUUUUUUUCUCAAAGACUCUUAUUUCUUUAAGGGUGGAAGCCAUAUUUUAUACGUCAUUAAAUCCGCAGAACCUAUCUGUGAUAGUUAAUAUUGAGUAUCAAGUUGAUUGAAUUGAAAGAAACAAAAUAUUGAUCCUGGGUGUGUCUGUGAGGGUGUUGCCAAAGAAGAUGAGCAUUUCAGUCAGUGGACUGGGAAAGGCAGACCCACCCUCAAUCUGGGUGGGCACAAUCUAAUCAGCUGCCAGUUCAGUCAGAAUAAAAGCAGGCAGAAGAAUGCGGAAAGCCUAAACUGGCUAAGUCUUCUGGCCUCCAUCUUUUCCCCAUGCUGGAUGCUUCUUGCCCUUGAACAUCAGACUCCAAGUUCUUUAGCUUUUCGACUCUUAGACUUAACACCGGUGAUUUGCCCAGGGCUCUUGGCCUUUGUCCACAAACUAAAGGCUGCACUAUCGGCUUCAUCCCUACUUUUGAGGUUUUGGGACUCGGACUUGCUUCCUGGCUCCUCAGUUUGCAGACGGCCUUUUGUGGGACUUCGUCUUGUGGUCAUGUGAGUCAAUACUCCUUAAUAAACUCUCUUUCAUAUAUACAUCACCCUAUUAGUCCUGUCGCUCUAGAGAACCCUAAUACAUUAUCACAUCCCUUAGCAAAUAGACUGUUAGUGCAUGUAAGAAUAAAAUAAGAAUAAUUGCUAACAUUUAUUUAGUGCCUACAUGGGAUAGGCAUCAUUCUAAGCAGUUUACAUGUAGACUUAUUUAAUUCUCAUAAUACACAUGUUGAAUAGAAACUAUUGGCCUGGAAUGGUGGCUCUCGCCUGUAAUACCAGCAGUUUGGGAGGCCGAGACAGGUGGAUCACCUGAGGUCAAGAAUUCAAGACCAGCCUGGCCAUGAUGGUGAAACCCCCAUCUCUACAAAAAUACAAAAAUUAGCCAGGCAUGAAGGUGGGUGCCUGUAAUCCCAGCUACUUGAGAGGCUGAGGUGGAAGAAUCAUUCGAACCCGGGAAGGGGAGGUUGCAGUGAGCCGAGAUCGCCCCACUGCACUCCAGCCUGGGUGAUAGAGAGAAACUCCAUCUGAAAAAAAAAAAAAAAGAAACUAUUGACAAGGAUCUUUUUUUUGCAGAGGAAAGAGAGAUAAAGAAAUACCUACAUAAACACAUAUACAUAUACAACUUAUAUGUAUAAACACAAAUAUACAUCAUGGAUCUAGAUACUUUAUUGAUUCAUAUACUUAAUAACUUUCAACACUAAUAAAUUGGACACUUACGUAGCUGCAUUGAUAAACACACAAUGCAGAUCAUAGGUGGCUCUAUGCUCUCUGUGCCCUGUCAUGGUCUAUGCGAGAGUUUUUAGUCCUGGUGUCAUAUUGACAUUCAAGACAUUUAAGGUCCUGGAAUGUGAGCCACAUGAUGAGAUAAUUUGAGGAUGGACAGUUUGCAGAAGAGAAUACCCUUUGUUCAAAUAUCUAAACAGCUGUCAUGAACAAGAGCGAUUAGAUUCAUUUUGCUUGACCCAGGAGGUGCAAAACUGAGACUAAUGGAUGGGAGCUUCAGGGAGGGAGAAUGUUGCUCAGCCCAAGGAAGGAUUUCUGGCAAGAAAGGUCUAUGCCGCUAGAUCUUGUGCUCCUGGGAAUAGAAAGCUUUGGCUCCCUUCCAGCAUGGAAACUCAGACUAUAUGUCCAUUUACUAGGUAGUAUCAUAUUUCACAGGAUACUUCUGCUUUGAGUAAGAGAGGGUAUUACAGGACCACCAUGAUCUCUUUUAUGUAUACAUUUUAGUGGAAAUUGUAACAAGUCUAGUUAAAAUGACAUAUGCCUUGGAAAAAAAGUUUAUUUCUACUAAUGUUAAAACUACUAUGACUAUCACUGCCAAUGCUACUAUAAUUACUAUUAAUGGUCAUAUGAUAAAUAAUGUUUGCAGGGCAGCUACUGUAUACUAGGUACAUAUUCCCUCUGCUAGUUUGCAUUUUGCAUAUACCAUGUCAUUUAACCUGCACAGCAAUUCUGAGUGGUUGGUGUCAUCGAUCUCUUUUUGCAGUUUCAGGGAACUGAGGCUCUAGGAGGUGAAGCCAUCUACUCAUGGUUAGCCAGAUAGUAACACUCAGAUCUAUGUGUGUCUGGCCACAAAAUCAGUUCUCUUUCUGUUUUACAGAGCCAUAGGAAGAGAGGGUAGGAAGAGAGGAGAGGAGAGGAGAGGAGAUGAGAGGAGAGGACAUAUAAUAGAUAAUCCUAGGCUUAAGUCAGAUUUAUUUUGGGAAAAUAUGAGACUCAGUUACUGAAAUAUUCUAAUUUUUUAUAUAUCAAGCUAUACAUUACUGAUUAUAUAGUUUGCAAUUAUUGAUGACAGAUUCACUAGUUUGAUUCUUUCUUUGUUGAUCUCAUUCUUCCUGAGGUUGUUUCAUCCUUCAUAGGAAGAGCUACUACUUCACAAUUGCAUGAGAAGAGAUCAAUUUAUAUGUAUGGCUCAUACACAUCUCAAAAGGAGAAAUCAAGAGGGACUUAGGUAUG
This 5150-nucleotide long non-coding RNA is filed under the name Homo sapiens (human). RNAcentral describes it as "HSALNT0232282". Lineage: Eukaryota; Metazoa; Chordata; Mammalia; Primates; Hominidae. The record is from RNAcentral.